This 731-nucleotide ribosomal RNA is filed under the name uncultured bacterium. RNAcentral describes it as "bacterial SSU rRNA". It matches the Rfam family "Bacterial small subunit ribosomal RNA", at positions 771 to 1501 of the family's 1533-position model. The record is from RNAcentral.
AACAGGAUUAGAUACCCUGGUAGUCCACGCCGUAAACGAUGUCUACUAGUCGUUGGGUCCCUUGAGGACUUAGUGACGCAGCUAACGCAAUAAGUAGACCGCCUGGGGAGUACGGCCGCAAGGUUAAAACUCAAAUGAAUUGACGGGGGCCCGCACAAGCGGUGGAGCAUGUGGUUUAAUUCGAUGCAACGCGAAGAACCUUACCUGGUCUUGACAUAUCUAGAAUCCUGCAGAGAUGCGGGAGUGCCUUCGGGAAUUAGAAUACAGGUGCUGCAUGGCUGUCGUCAGCUCGUGUCGUGAGAUGUUGGGUUAAGUCCCGCAACGAGCGCGACCCUCGUCCUUAGUUACCAGCGGUUUGGCCGGGAACUCUAAGGAUACUGCCAGUGACAAACUGGAGGAAGGCGGGGACGACGUCAAGUCAUCAUGGCCCUUACGACCAGGGCUACACACGUGCUACAAUGGUAGGUACAGAGGGCAGCUACACAGCGAUGUGAUGCGAAUCUCAAAAAGCCUAUCGUAGUCCAGAUUGGAGUCUGCAACUCGACUCCAUGAAGUAGGAAUCGCUAGUAAUCGCGGAUCAGAAUGCCGCGGUGAAUACGUUCCCGGGCCUUGUACACACCGCCCGUCACACCAUGGGAGUUGAUUGCACCAGAAGUGGUUAGCCUAACCUUUUAGGAAGGCGAUCACCACGGUGUGGUUGAUGACUGGGGUGAAGUCGUAACAAGGUAACC